This 253-nucleotide ribosomal RNA is filed under the name uncultured bacterium. RNAcentral describes it as "partial 16S ribosomal RNA". It matches the Rfam family "Bacterial small subunit ribosomal RNA", at positions 524 to 776 of the family's 1533-position model. The record is from RNAcentral.
GACGUAGGGGGCCAGCGUUGUUCGGAAUUACUGGGCGUAAAGGGCGCGUAGGCGGCCUUCUAAGUCGAACGUGAAAUCCCCGGGCUCAACCCGGGAACUGCGUCCGAUACUGGAAGGCUUGAAUCCGGGAGAGGGAUGCGGAAUUCCAGGUGUAGCGGUGAAAUGCGUAGAUAUCUGGAGGAACACCGGUGGCGAAGGCGGCAUCCUGGACCGGCAUUGACGCUGAGGCGCGAAAGCCAGGGGAGCAAACGGG